This 347-nucleotide ribosomal RNA is filed under the name uncultured bacterium. Its description in RNAcentral is "bacterial SSU rRNA". It matches the Rfam family "Bacterial small subunit ribosomal RNA", at positions 8 to 350 of the family's 1533-position model. The record is from RNAcentral.
AGAGUUUGAUCCUGGCUCAGGAUGAACGCUAGCGACAGGCUUAACACAUGCAAGUCGAGGGGCAGCGAGGGAGUGGCAACACUUCUGUCGGCGACCGGCGCACGGGUGAGUAACGCGUAUGCAACCUGCCCUUCACAGGGGGAUAACCGGGAGAAAUUCCGACUAAUACCGCAUACGUCCUCCGGGGGCAUCCCCGGGGGAUGAAAGAAUUAUCGGUGAAGGAUGGGCAUGGCGUGAUAUUAGGUAGUUGGCGGGGCAACGGCCCACAAGCCCACGAUAUCUAGGGGUUCUGAGAGGAAGGUCCCCCACAUUGGUACUGAGACACGGACCAAACUCCUACGGAGGCA